This is a non-coding RNA of Caenorhabditis elegans, 147 nucleotides long. NCBI's taxonomy places the organism in Eukaryota, Metazoa, Nematoda, Chromadorea, Rhabditida, Rhabditidae. The record is from Ensembl.
GACGCAGAGAUUCAAGGAAACGCAAGUGGGAGGAGGUCAAAAGAAAUGGCUUCAUCUCCUUCUUCGCUUUCACACUAAGCUGUUUCUCGCCAAAAACAUAUCCGCUUUCGCACUUUACCAACAAAAAGAGAGCGGCGGUCAAAUUGU